RNAcentral lists this transfer RNA (84 nucleotides) under bacterium. Its description in RNAcentral is "tRNA-Phe". The record is from RNAcentral.
GCAGGGUGGCGGAAUAGGUAGACGCAUCGUCCUAAAAGCCUGAGGACAAAAGGUAAUUGCGAGGUGCAAAUCCUCGCCCCUGCU